This 2802-nucleotide ribosomal RNA is filed under the name Escherichia coli. Its description in RNAcentral is "bacterial LSU rRNA". It matches the Rfam family "Bacterial large subunit ribosomal RNA". Lineage: Bacteria; Pseudomonadati; Pseudomonadota; Gammaproteobacteria; Enterobacterales; Enterobacteriaceae. The record is from RNAcentral.
GGGUUGUGAGGUUAAGCGACUAAGCGUACACGGUGGAUGCCCUGGCAGUCAGAGGCGAUGAAGGACGUGCUAAUCUGCGAUAAGCGUCGGUAAGGUGAUAUGAACCGUUAUAACCGGCGAUUUCCGAAUGGGGAAACCCAGUGUGUUUCGACACACUAUCAUUAACUGAAUCCAUAGGUUAAUGAGGCGAACCGGGGGAACUGAAACAUCUAAGUACCCCGAGGAAAAGAAAUCAACCGAGAUUCCCCCAGUAGCGGCGAGCGAACGGGGAGGAGCCCAGAGCCUGAAUCAGUGUGUGUGUUAGUGGAAGCGUCUGGAAAGGCGCGCGAUACAGGGUGACAGCCCCGUACACAAAAAUGCACAUGCUGUGAGCUCGAUGAGUAGGGCGGGACACGUGGUAUCCUGUCUGAAUAUGGGGGGACCAUCCUCCAAGGCUAAAUACUCCUGACUGACCGAUAGUGAACCAGUACCGUGAGGGAAAGGCGAAAAGAACCCCGGCGAGGGGAGUGAAAAAGAACCUGAAACCGUGUACGUACAAGCAGUGGGAGCACGCUUAGGCGUGUGACUGCGUACCUUUUGUAUAAUGGGUCAGCGACUUAUAUUCUGUAGCAAGGUUAACCGAAUAGGGGAGCCGAAGGGAAACCGAGUCUUAACUGGGCGUUAAGUUGCAGGGUAUAGACCCGAAACCCGGUGAUCUAGCCAUGGGCAGGUUGAAGGUUGGGUAACACUAACUGGAGGACCGAACCGACUAAUGUUGAAAAAUUAGCGGAUGACUUGUGGCUGGGGGUGAAAGGCCAAUCAAACCGGGAGAUAGCUGGUUCUCCCCGAAAGCUAUUUAGGUAGCGCCUCGUGAAUUCAUCUCCGGGGGUAGAGCACUGUUUCGGCAAGGGGGUCAUCCCGACUUACCAACCCGAUGCAAACUGCGAAUACCGGAGAAUGUUAUCACGGGAGACACACGGCGGGUGCUAACGUCCGUCGUGAAGAGGGAAACAACCCAGACCGCCAGCUAAGGUCCCAAAGUCAUGGUUAAGUGGGAAACGAUGUGGGAAGGCCCAGACAGCCAGGAUGUUGGCUUAGAAGCAGCCAUCAUUUAAAGAAAGCGUAAUAGCUCACUGGUCGAGUCGGCCUGCGCGGAAGAUGUAACGGGGCUAAACCAUGCACCGAAGCUGCGGCAGCGACGCUUAUGCGUUGUUGGGUAGGGGAGCGUUCUGUAAGCCUGUGAAGGUGUGCUGUGAGGCAUGCUGGAGGUAUCAGAAGUGCGAAUGCUGACAUAAGUAACGAUAAAGCGGGUGAAAAGCCCGCUCGCCGGAAGACCAAGGGUUCCUGUCCAACGUUAAUCGGGGCAGGGUGAGUCGACCCCUAAGGCGAGGCCGAAAGGCGUAGUCGAUGGGAAACAGGUUAAUAUUCCUGUACUUGGUGUUACUGCGAAGGGGGGACGGAGAAGGCUAUGUUGGCCGGGCGACGGUUGUCCCGGUUUAAGCGUGUAGGCUGGUUUUCCAGGCAAAUCCGGAAAAUCAAGGCUGAGGCGUGAUGACGAGGCACUACGGUGCUGAAGCAACAAAUGCCCUGCUUCCAGGAAAAGCCUCUAAGCAUCAGGUAACAUCAAAUCGUACCCCAAACCGACACAGGUGGUCAGGUAGAGAAUACCAAGGCGCUUGAGAGAACUCGGGUGAAGGAACUAGGCAAAAUGGUGCCGUAACUUCGGGAGAAGGCACGCUGAUAUGUAGGUGAAGCGACUUGCUCGUGGAGCUGAAAUCAGUCGAAGAUACCAGCUGGCUGCAACUGUUUAUUAAAAACACAGCACUGUGCAAACACGAAAGUGGACGUAUACGGUGUGACGCCUGCCCGGUGCCGGAAGGUUAAUUGAUGGGGUUAGCGCAAGCGAAGCUCUUGAUCGAAGCCCCGGUAAACGGCGGCCGUAACUAUAACGGUCCUAAGGUAGCGAAAUUCCUUGUCGGGUAAGUUCCGACCUGCACGAAUGGCGUAAUGAUGGCCAGGCUGUCUCCACCCGAGACUCAGUGAAAUUGAACUCGCUGUGAAGAUGCAGUGUACCCGCGGCAAGACGGAAAGACCCCGUGAACCUUUACUAUAGCUUGACACUGAACAUUGAGCCUUGAUGUGUAGGAUAGGUGGGAGGCUUUGAAGUGUGGACGCCAGUCUGCAUGGAGCCGACCUUGAAAUACCACCCUUUAAUGUUUGAUGUUCUAACGUUGACCCGUAAUCCGGGUUGCGGACAGUGUCUGGUGGGUAGUUUGACUGGGGCGGUCUCCUCCUAAAGAGUAACGGAGGAGCACGAAGGUUGGCUAAUCCUGGUCGGACAUCAGGAGGUUAGUGCAAUGGCAUAAGCCAGCUUGACUGCGAGCGUGACGGCGCGAGCAGGUGCGAAAGCAGGUCAUAGUGAUCCGGUGGUUCUGAAUGGAAGGGCCAUCGCUCAACGGAUAAAAGGUACUCCGGGGAUAACAGGCUGAUACCGCCCAAGAGUUCAUAUCGACGGCGGUGUUUGGCACCUCGAUGUCGGCUCAUCACAUCCUGGGGCUGAAGUAGGUCCCAAGGGUAUGGCUGUUCGCCAUUUAAAGUGGUACGCGAGCUGGGUUUAGAACGUCGUGAGACAGUUCGGUCCCUAUCUGCCGUGGGCGCUGGAGAACUGAGGGGGGCUGCUCCUAGUACGAGAGGACCGGAGUGGACGCAUCACUGGUGUUCGGGUUGUCAUGCCAAUGGCACUGCCCGGUAGCUAAAUGCGGAAGAGAUAAGUGCUGAAAGCAUCUAAGCACGAAACUUGCCCCGAGAUGAGUUCUCCCUGAC